RNAcentral lists this RNase P RNA (314 nucleotides) under Escherichia coli. RNAcentral's name for it is "partial RNase P RNA component class A". It matches the Rfam family "Bacterial RNase P class A", at positions 44 to 367 of the family's 367-position model. From Rfam's summary of the family: Ribonuclease P (RNase P) is a ubiquitous endoribonuclease, found in archaea, bacteria and eukarya as well as chloroplasts and mitochondria. The record is from RNAcentral. Lineage: Bacteria; Pseudomonadati; Pseudomonadota; Gammaproteobacteria; Enterobacterales; Enterobacteriaceae.
CCGGCGCUCGUCCGAUCUGGGCAGGGUGCCAGGUAACGCCUGGGGGGGAAACCCACGACCAGUGCAACAGAGAGCAAACCGCCGAUGGCCCGCGCAAGCGGGAUCAGGUAAGGGUGAAAGGGUGCGGUAAGAGCGCACCGCGCGGCUGGUAACAGUCCGUGGCACGGUAAACUCCACCCGGAGCAAGGCCAAAUAGGGGUUCAUAAGGUACGGCCCGUACUGAACCCGGGUAGGCUGCUUGAGCCAGUGAGCGAUUGCUGGCCUAGAUGAAUGACUGUCCACGACAGAACCCGGCUUAUCGGUCAGUUUCACCU